This 258-nucleotide ribosomal RNA is filed under the name uncultured bacterium. RNAcentral's name for it is "partial 16S ribosomal RNA". It matches the Rfam family "Bacterial small subunit ribosomal RNA", at positions 524 to 776 of the family's 1533-position model. The record is from RNAcentral.
UACAGAGGGUGCAAGCGUUGUUCGGAAUUAUUGGGCGUAAAGGGCGCGUAGGCGGUGCCACAAGUCACCUGUGAAAUCUCCGGGCUUAACUCGGAGCCUGCAGGCGAAACUGUGGUGCUGGAGUGUGGGAGAGGUGCGUGGAAUUCCCGGUGUGGGCGGUGAAAUGCGUAGAUAUCGGGGAGGAACACCUGUGGCGAAAGCGGCGCACUGGACCAUAACUGACGCUGGAUGCGCGAAAAGCUAGGGGGAGCAAACAGG